RNA transcript from Panicum virgatum (switchgrass), 4182 nucleotides. It is a transcript of the gene named G-type lectin S-receptor-like serine/threonine-protein kinase At2g19130, with no coding region annotated. The transcript has 5 exons. NCBI's taxonomy places the organism in Eukaryota, Viridiplantae, Streptophyta, Magnoliopsida, Poales, Poaceae. The record is from RefSeq and is a predicted model, not a curated record.
UCUUCCAAGUCAACAAAAGCUGCUGCCAUCGCUUCUUCUUCCUACCAACAAAUUUCCGUGAGCACUCGGCUUCCCUCUCCUCCUGAUCGCCCCGAUGCUUGGCUUUCUUGAAGUGCCCCAAUCGGCGCCGGUUUGCACGGGCUUCCCCGAGCCCGCCGACGGCGCUAGGCGAGGAGCAGCGCCCUCCUCCCACCUAACGCCGUGCCCUCCUCCCUCCCAGCGCGGCGCCCUCCUCUUCCCUUCCCAAGCUCCGGUCGCCCUCCGGCCAUGUCCCCAGCGGCGGCCUCGAGGACGCCUGGACGCGGCCCCGGAGCUCCCUCCCGGCCAGAUCCGCGCGGGUUCAGGCAGCGGGGAGCAGCGAAGGUAGGCGGCCUCGGCGCGCAGGAGCAGCGAUGCCGAGCGAUGGGCAGCGGCACCGCGGCGCGAUAACGGCGACAGGGCAGCGGUGGAGAUGGGAGGCGCUCCUCGCCUACGCCGUGCGCCGUAUCUCCGGGCGCCGCUCGCGCCGCGGCCGCCGUGCCGCGAUCGAUUGCCCCGCCCCGCCCCGCCCCGCCUCACACCAACAGCCGCGUCGUGGCGGCAGUAAGUUCACCAUGAUUUCUCAUCCAUCCGUCUCUCAUAUCUUCUUCUUCCAUUCGCUCUUUCUCGUGUGCGCGCUGAAUCGGCAUCCACGCAUCGGCGCAUCGCUAACAGCGAUCUUCAUUUCAGCACUGAUUGGGAGCUAUUUAGUGCACGGGCUUGUCUCCUAUCAAUCCCCCGUUGAGCGCUGAUUGAGACCGAUUCAGUACACUACAUGUGGUGAAUCUCUUGUUACCCGAUUCGAUUUCUUCUGCCAAAAGGAUUUCCAGUGACAGAGUUUCGCUAGGCAAUGCUUUAGAUCCUGUCAUCCACCAAGGUUCCGAUUGCUGAAACUAUCUCAUUUUAGUUGGCUUCCAGCUCUCCAUAAAGGUACCUUAUUCUAAUUGGUUAUUACCUGCUAUUUCAUUGUUGCCUUGCUGACCUAAUUAGCUAUGAAGGGAGCUAAAAAACUAUUCUUGACUCUAUAUAUUUUCCUAUACGCGAUGCUAGCUAUUAUUGGUAUAGCACAUUAAUAUUCUUCUUGGCAUAUGUGUGUUUUUCCCCCUUUUUUCAGUAACUGUUUUAGAUUGUUGCCUACACGUAAAUGAUAGUUGAGAUUUGGCCUGUUGCAUUUGGAUUCCAACAUUUUAAAUCAUUUGCAACUUGGCUUCAUGAGUUGUACUAGCAGUGAAAUGCGGAGUUGGGUAAUAUUAUGCCGAUAUUUGUUUUAUUUCUUCCACUAACAGAGAUGCAUGGAGCACUAUGCUGAGUUCUUUUCGCAAGUUGUUGCUGUUCAAAAGUAUGGAAUAAUCCCUUAUGAAUGAUUUGAUGAUUUUAUUUGUUUAGAUGAGUACCUUUUCAUAAUCUAGAUAUGCAUGAUUACAGUAAGCUUACAAUCUGAAAUGUUUCUUCCUUGGCAAACUACCUUUGUUCAGAUUGUUUAGAUGAACCAAUGGAGCAUGCUUAUAUAUUAGAAUAAUUGAUAACUCGCCAGCAUUAGGGGCUACUUUUCUUUUGUUUUGCUCUACCUGAACAAUUUUUCUCAUCUUAACAGUUGCAAAGCAUCUUAGAGAAAUAUCAGAUCUAGUGACAUCGCUCUUUACUGCUUGAAAUUCUUUCACCCAAGACUCCGAGAGAUGCUGAUCAUGUUUGCGAAUCCAAAUUUGGUGCUAGAUGUAGACCUGGUUUUGUUUUGUUGCUUCUUACUGCCUGAUAUUCAUUCACCUGAAAGAUGCUGAUCAGGUUUGCCUAUAGAAUUUUUGUGCUAAUUGCUGACCUAAUUUGAUUUGAUUGCCUGAUAAAAGUUAAUAUACUUGGAUCAAUAUACUUUGCAUUCAAACUGUUCUGAUUGCCUCCAGUACUGUCUACCAUAUAAAUCUUUGAUUACUGAAGUUGGGGAUGAUAGGAUUGUAUUAUGUGGUCUAGAAUUAUAGCUACCACAGCUGGAGUUAGUCACACCUCGGCAUCAUUAAUUUUUUUGGAGCCCUGCAGAGUAAUCCUUAAUCUUUGCCUAUGAACGAUCAUCUUUGCAAGCUGUUCUAUUCUUGUAAUGUGUUUACAAUUUUAGUUUAGCAGAUUGCAGUCAUUACGGGCUGGUUGUCUGUGUAUUGUAUACCAAAUUAUUAUAUUAUUUGUUUUUCUAGGUAAGCCUCCCUUUUUUUCCCUUUGCAUAAAUGGUUCAUUAUAGAGAUCUAAAGUUGAGUACUUGGUUAAUCACAUGAACUCCCUGUGUUAGUACUCUAUAUGAUUCAAUUUCAUUUUCAGAAUGUUGGUAUGGUGCAUGCUUAACGAACAAAAUGUUUUGUUACCAUGGCAACAAGCAUUUGUCCUUUGUGCCAAACAAGCAAAGAAAGUUUCAUAUUGUCCUUAUUGAAUUGUGUUGUUUCGGUUGAUAUUAAUCUUUUGGUCGAUUUAUGAGUACUGGAAAUAAUUUUUUCAUCUUUGUAGGUGAAAAUAAUCAACCGUGGUGUUUGCCCGGUGCAUGGAGUUAUAUAGCCCCUAAAAUACAAUGUCGUGGGCUCUUAGACACAACUUGAGAUAUAAUUUCUAAAUUUGAAUGUAACUAUCAAACAUUGUGCACCUCUCUUCUUUUAUUAACAAGGGAUCAGGCAGUGACUCCUUUGUAUCAAAGCCAUUUUGCCCGUUUGUAUUUUUUUUCCUGAGAAGAAUUCAUGUGUAUAAUGACUCCUUAGCUUUGGUGUGCGCUUGGGAGUUCUAUUGUACGCACAUUACAACCCUAAGCAUAUUUAGGCUACAUCUGCUAUCUGGGUUGUUUCCACGAACUGAGGUCCGUUACAAUCUUAUUAGGUUACACCUGAAAAAAAUUAGAAAUUUCUAAAACUUUAACUUCGACCUUUCUUUUUCUAUUUCCUCAUCAGAUCUUAUAAAAUAUACAUACUACUUUUAAUUUCUCCCUGUACUUCAAAAUAUCUUCUACUAUACCAUAUCAUGAUAAUUACCACUAAGAUUAUAAAUGAAUUAUGCGCGUGCAAUCCACUAGUGGCUGGAACAUGCAAGAGCGCCUAGCAGUGUGCCGCUGCCGCUGCCGCUGCCAACACACGUCCAGUACAAUUGGUGCGUGCAGCGGAGCGAGAGCGCGACGACAUGGCCAAGCUCUGCCUCUUGGUGUGCGCCGUCUCGCUUCUCCUCGUUCUGGUCCCGUCGCCGGGGCCCGUUCUGGCGUCGCCGUCUCCCCCCGCCCGGCGCCGCUACGGCUCCAUCUCGGCGACUCGUACGCGGACACCGGCAACGGCCCCGUCGCCUUCGGCUGGCACUCCGCCAACCCCGUCAUGCGACCGCCCUACGGUUCCACCGUCUUUGGCUGCCCCACCGGCCGCAACUGCGACGGCCGCCUCCCCGUCGACUUCCUCGGUGCUUCCCUUGCUGGCGGCUCCGAUGAUUUGCCCAAUGACUUGGACUAUCUGAUCGCUCCCUGCUUGCUUGCACUCGCAGGCUCGCAGCUUAGAGCCUGGGCCUGCCACUCGUCCCGCCGUUCCUGGCGCGCAGCGGGGCCGCCAGCUUCCGCCGCGGCGGCGGCGAUACCACCCUCGACGCCGGCUUCUUCCACCGCUGGAACCCCCCGGGCGGCAGCGUGUUCCUUACAGAAGGCGAGGCACGAGGCAGCCAUGCUGAGCUAGCUGGACGAGCGCAAGGUGUUCGAUAAAAUGCCUCGUCGUGAGGGCGCGCUCUGGGGCCAAGUCGUUGACUUGAUAACAAACUCAGCCGGCGUCAACAAGGCAACAGGAUGACGUGUUGUGCAUCUUGAGCAUAAGUGACUCUUGGUAAUUCUGGACCUGAGGAUCCUGCAAAAAGUUUUCCCCAGAAACAUGGGAGUUUUUCAAAUACGGCCCAAUAGGCCACAGGGCCCAAGUCUCUGAUUGUAAGUGCACGGCCCAACCCAUGUCGCAUCGAAUCUAGUGGGGUUAGCCUUGCUAAUGGGGCGGGUCGAAAUGGGCAUUUCGGGUCGGGUAUUUGGAUGGGGCUUGUUUGAGUGGGUGGAAAUGGGUUGUAGGGAUUUGCAGGUCGGAGCGGGUUGGAUACAGUGGAACUGCGGGUUGGGGCGGGUCGGUUUGACUCCUUCCGUCCUCCGCUUGGGAAAUAGCCGCACGGGACUCGCGAGUCGCG